UAGUGUUACAGCUCUUUUAGAAUUUGUCUAGUAGGUUUUCUGGUUUUUUCCGGAAGACCCUU
RNAcentral lists this small nuclear RNA (62 nucleotides) under Procavia capensis (Cape rock hyrax). RNAcentral describes it as "U7 small nuclear RNA (ENSPCAG00000019556.1)". It matches the Rfam family "U7 small nuclear RNA". Rfam says of the family: Animal histone pre-mRNAs are spliced by a different mechanism than nuclear pre-mRNAs and self-splicing introns. This processing involves the U7 snRNP, which contains only one RNA species: U7. Lineage: Eukaryota; Metazoa; Chordata; Mammalia; Hyracoidea; Procaviidae. The record is from RNAcentral.